This 486-nucleotide ribosomal RNA is filed under the name uncultured bacterium. Its description in RNAcentral is "partial 16S ribosomal RNA". It matches the Rfam family "Bacterial small subunit ribosomal RNA", at positions 30 to 507 of the family's 1533-position model. The record is from RNAcentral.
AUUGAACGCUGGCGGCAUGCCUUACACAUGCAAGUCGAACGGCAGCACGGGUGCUUGCACCUGGUGGCGAGUGGCGAACGGGUGAGUAAUACAUCGGAACAUGUCCUGUAGUGGGGGAUAGCCCGGCGAAAGCCGGAUUAAUACCGCAUACGAUCUACGGAUGAAAGCGGGGGACCUUCGGGCCUCGCGCUAUAGGGUUGGCCGAUGGCUGAUUAGCUAGUUGGUGGGGUAAAGGCCUACCAAGGCGACUAUCAGUAGCUGGUCUGAGAGGACGACCAGCCACACUGGGACUGAGACACGGCCCAGACUCCUACGGGAGGCAGCAGUGGGGAAUUUUGGACAAUGGGCGAAAGCCUGAUCCAGCAAUGCCGCGUGUGUGAAGAAGGCCUUCGGGUUGUAAAGCACUUUUGUCCGGAAAGAAAUCCUUGGCCCUAAUACGGUCGGGGGAUGACGGUACCGGAAGAAUAAGCACCGGCUAACUACGUG